CCUACGGGUGGCAGCAGUGGGGAAUAUUGCGCAAUGGGCGAAAGCCUGACGCAGCGACGCCGCGUGAGGGAUGAAGGUCUUCGGAUCGUAAACCUCUGUCAGCAGGGAAGAACGGUCACUGUGCUAAUCAGCAGUGAAUUGACGGUACCUGCAAAGGAAGCACCGGCUAACUCCGUGCCAGCAGCCGCGGUAAUACGGAGGGUGCGAGCGUUAAUCGGAAUUACUGGGCGUAAAGCGCUCGUAGGCGGUAUGUCAAGUCACGGGUGAAAUCCCCGCGCUCAACGUGGGAACUGCCUUUGAAACAGGCAAACUGGAGUUUGGGAGAGGAUAGUGGAAUUCCAGGUGUAGGAGUGAAAGCCGUAGAUAUCUGGAGGAACAUCAGUGGCGAAGGCGACUAUCUGGCACAUAACUGACGCUGAGGAGCGAAAGCGUGGGUAGCAAACAGGAUUAGAUACCCCAGUAGGC
RNAcentral lists this ribosomal RNA (465 nucleotides) under uncultured bacterium. Its description in RNAcentral is "partial 16S ribosomal RNA". It matches the Rfam family "Bacterial small subunit ribosomal RNA", at positions 338 to 795 of the family's 1533-position model. The record is from RNAcentral.